RNAcentral lists this long non-coding RNA (1020 nucleotides) under Numida meleagris (helmeted guineafowl). RNAcentral describes it as "lncRNA (ENSNMEG00000009846.1)". Lineage: Eukaryota; Metazoa; Chordata; Aves; Galliformes; Numididae. The record is from RNAcentral.
AUGCCCCAAAUGCAGGGGCACAACUCGGCACCCAGCGCUGGGUGUGGGGAGCUGCUGGGGUCCCAGGGGCUGGGAGGGCUCAGGCAGCACCACGGGUCCGCACCACGGCCUCUCCACGUUGCUGCUGUACGUGUGCCUACCAACCUCCUUCCCCGCAUACCUCUGUUAUUAAAGAGGCUCUGGGAGGGAGGAGGGAAAGUGACCUUUCUCCCGCACCGCUCCGGAGAGGGGAGAGAAAAUCCCCCUGGGAUGGGAAGGAAAUUGCAAAUACCUCUCCGUGGCUCCGGCGCCUGGCUGUGCCCCUGUCCCCCGCAGCCGGGCCCUGGGAAGGGGACAGCAGCACCGGCGGGGCACAGCCCGCCCGCGGCCCCUGGAUGUCCCCCCGCGGCAGAGCCGUGCCUGGCUCCGGGCUGGGCUGGGACCGCGACUCUGCUCCGGGGGACACCGGCCCCGGCCGCUCCGGGUGGCGAGGGCUCUGCGGCCGCGGGGAGGCCGAGGAGCGGGGACACCGGGGUCGCUCCAGCACAGGGCUGCGGGCGGGCGGCCGGACACGGCUCCGCGCUGUGCUACGGGAAUGGGACGCCGAGGGCGUGCACGGACCCCCCUGCCCCUGGCCGGCGCAGGACCGCCGCUCCCCGGGAUGGACCCCGCUCCGCUCCGCUGCGUGGCUCCGCUCAGCUGUUUGUCCGGAGAAAAGCGCUGCUCUUGUUUCCCUACUGGGUGUUUUUUGAAGCGCUGAUCAAACUUCACGGAAUUUCACGAGGGAUGGGGAACUCCGCGUGUCCGAAAGUCAGCCCGUCCCUGGGAGCUGGGUCAGCGCCCGCACAGCGCCCGCACAGGGCUGCACAGCAGACGGGUGAGGAACCCAGGAAUGGGGGGGGGGGACACUUGUGCAGGACGCCCGCACGGAGCGGGUCUGGGACAUCUCAGAGUAAGAGGGAAUACCAGAGACCCCCGGGGCAGCAGUGCCGCUCUCCGAUCCCCGCCGCAGCGCUGCAGAGCGGGCCCCGGAGCUCUUAA